GACGAACGCUGGCGGCGUGCUUAACACAUGCAAGUCGAACGGUAAGGCCCUGCCUUUGUGGGGUGCUCGAGUGGCGAACGGGUGAGUCACCCGUGAGUAACCUGCCCUUGACUUUGGGAUAACUUCAGGAAACUGGAGCUAAUACCGGAUCGGAGCUCCUGCUGCAUGGAGGGGGUUGGAAAGUUUCGGCGGGUGGGGAUGGACUCGCGGCUUAUCAGCUUGUUGGUGGGGUAGUGGCUUACCAAGGCUUUGACGGGUAGCCGGCCUGUGUGGGUGACCGGCGACAUGGGUACUGAGGUACGGCCCAGACGGCUACGGUAGGCAGCAGUGGGGAAUAUUGCACAAUGGGCGGAAGCCUGAUGCAGCGACGCCGCGGGCGGGAUGACGGCCUGCGGGUUGUAAACCGCUUCUGCCUGUGACGAAGCGUGAGUGACGGUAAUGGGUGAAGAAGCACCGGCUAACUACGUG
RNAcentral lists this ribosomal RNA (468 nucleotides) under uncultured bacterium. Its description in RNAcentral is "partial 16S ribosomal RNA". It matches the Rfam family "Bacterial small subunit ribosomal RNA", at positions 28 to 507 of the family's 1533-position model. The record is from RNAcentral.